Molecule: long non-coding RNA, 2355 nt
Filed under: Varroa destructor (honeybee mite)
Lineage: Eukaryota; Metazoa; Arthropoda; Arachnida; Mesostigmata; Varroidae
Description: uncharacterized LOC111243476
Source: RNAcentral
CGUGUCCUUUUUUUUGUCAUCAAAUAGAUGCCUCUUGACAGGUUCCGAAGUUUAAUUAUGUUCUACAUUAAAUAUCUAGUUCUUAUUCCCUAUUACAUAGUCUCUAAAACAAGGCUCGCCGAGUAGGCAGUAAAAGAUGUUCACUUGAAGGUGUUUGCUCACUGUUUCUUACACUAUCAAAGAAUACAAGGCGUAAAAUUGAAUAAAUUUACUGUUAAUAUUGUCUUAGCUUGCUUUUCUCGGGUAAUAUAUGUGACGAAAACAUGGCGCAUUAGGAGCUACCGCGCCUUGUAAUGUGUUCGAACACGCAUAUUUGCAUCCGCAAAAAUCACAAUAAACAUCUAAUUUUUUCUAAGCUAGCGUAAUAGUAUCAUAUGGAAUUUUCCGAGUCGACUUGUAGCGGUCAGCGGCAUCAGAACCUAGAGGUGGAGCUGAAUUUGCUCAGUCAUCUCGUUUCCACUAUGAUGGUCGCUCAUCAGGUCACUUCAAGAUACAAUUAUUUCGUAAUUAUUCAAGCAAAUCAUGCUUCGGAUUUCUGGGCAGAGCCUGUUGUAGAGUGCGGCCCCGAUGCUACCGUACGCCCCUUGUGCUUGAUUGACCGUGGCAAGUUUUAACAACGCAAGUUUUUACAACAACCGUUUCAACUUCGGGACGUUGAUGGUCGUUAAUGCGAACGAAAAUAACUAUAGUCGUCUAGUUUAAAUCAAUUUAACUGGCUAAAAGAAGGUUUAAAGGAAAAUACCAUAAAAGGCAACGUUUUAUGCUUAUUUCAAUGUACGGCGUGCUUUCGAAACGUCUAGUUUUGUUAGCACGUCUACGUCGAGAACGCUAACUGACUGCCGUCUUAGCGAAUCGAGCUGCUCACAUCACGGAAGAUAAUUGGCCGUGGCAUUGUGACGUCUUUCAUCAGUAUGGCUGAACACUGACGUUUCCCGAGUGCGUAACUGAAAGUAAUUAAGGUUUCCUGUCUUAUUGGGCCCGAUUUAAUACCCACCGCGCUUUUAGCCGUUGCCAGGGACUGCGCUCGACUGUGUGUGUAUGCUUAUAGGUGGUUAUGACCCGGACACGUUAUGGUCAAGAUUCGUAUCUGGGCAUAGGCACAGGGUUCGGUUCGUGCUGAUGGAACAACUAACGGCGAUGAUGGACGUAAAAUUCGAAAUAUAAAGAGGUGGUUACGGCCCAAACAACGAUAUAAGCACUUUUAAAAUGGCGCGCAGUUUGUGAAUGGUAGCCAUUAUUCUGUUUCGAAAGAUCUUAAACUUUUCCAAUGCUCAACCCCCAAGUGCCACAGUUAGCUUUCAGGGGCUGAAAGGCGUAGGGUUUAACAUCAGCGUACGUAUACAACAAGAGAUAUGAACCACCCUGAAGCCGUUACUCGAUGCCACGUUUAGAUUCCUCCCUUACCUCCAAGGUUUGUUUCCAUAUUUAAUAUACGCUUAUCAAUUUCUUAAUGUGUUCCAAGCUUUUAUAAACGUACGAAGCAGUCUAAGGGGAAAUGGGGUCGUAGCCCUUAGCUAUCCAGAAUUCGAAAUUUAACACGAAAGCCAUUGACAUUCCUCAUUCCUACCGCGCCUUUAGAAACACCCGACGGUGAUGGGUUUACUGUUAAGGUUAACUGAAAUAUAAUGCCGUAAAAAGCCACACUUAAUUGGGCACCGGGUUUAGAUGGAGUUUUGUAGUUUGCUCGCUCAGAACUGUAUACAAAUGAAUUAGCUAGCUCGGAUUCAUUUGUACUGGCGUGUGCCAAUUUCUUUUUUUUGCACUUGAUCUGUGUAUAAGGUUUUCUUUCUUUGUUCUAUAUAAAAUACCAGUGACCGACUGACGCCUCAAACCUUUCUCAUAUCAAAACUUAUUAAACAGGUAUAAGUAGUAUUUAAAUUGAGCAUUCUACAGCCACAUUAAAAAACCUCGAUAGAGGGCGCGUCGGUUAGAGUUACUUCAUCUCUAUAAAUCAAGUGCCGUAUACUAUUAGUACUAAAGCCGUCCACAUUCGUAUGCCAAUUAAUCUUUGGCUACGCUUACAUCUGUAGACAAGAGAAAUCUGUCCAUAUGGUGCCAUCGUUAAUGAGCCUAGGAAGCAUUAACUAAGCUGGGGCAAACUUGUUAGCUUUGCACGAGCCUAGCAUGACGCAAUUAAUACUGCUCUAGGUCGAAAUGCCAAACGCGCCGACUUUCAAACUAUUAUUUGACCUGACGGCACGCAGAGGUGUAAUAGGGGGCUUCCAGGUCGAUUUACCAAUAGGAAGUGAAACUACUUGCCUAGGAUGCGAUAUUGUGGAAUACGCACAUCGUUAAAUUACUUGGGUUAGCAUUAGAAAAUGUUGCAUAAGCAUUUCAGUGAGUCAAAUGCAAACA